UACGUAGGGUGCAAGCGUUAAUCGGAAUUACUGGGCGUAAAGCGUGCGCAGGCGGUUUUGUAAGUCUGUCGUGAAAGCCCCGGGCUCAACCUGGGAAUUGCGUUGGAGACUGCAAGGCUAGAAUCUGGCAGAGGGGGGUAGAAUUCCACGUGUAGCAGUGAAAUGCGUAGAGAUGUGGAGGAACACCGAUGGCGAAGGCAGCCCCCUGGGUCAAGAUUGACGCUCAUGCACGAAAGCGUGGGGAGCGAACAGG
RNAcentral lists this ribosomal RNA (253 nucleotides) under uncultured bacterium. RNAcentral's name for it is "partial 16S ribosomal RNA". It matches the Rfam family "Bacterial small subunit ribosomal RNA", at positions 524 to 776 of the family's 1533-position model. The record is from RNAcentral.